CGGGGGAACUGAAACAUCUAAGUACCCCGAGGAAAAGAAAUCAACCGAGAUUCCCCCAGUAGCGGCGAGCGAACGGGGAGGAGCCCAGAGCCUGAAUCAGUGUGUGUGUUAGUGGAAGCGUCUGGAAAGGCGCGCGAUACAGGGUGACAGCCCCGUACACAAAAAUGCACAUAUUGUGAGCUCGAUGAGUAGGGCGGGACACGUGGUAUCCUGUCUGAAUAUGGGGGGACCAUCCUCCAAGGCUAAAUACUCCUGACUGACCGAUAGUGAACCAGUACCGUGAGGGAAAGGCGAAAAGAACCCCGGCGAGGGGAGUGAAAAAGAACCUGAAACCGUGUACGUACAAGCAGUGGGAGCCUCUUUAUGGGGUGACUGCGUACCUUUUGUAUAAUGGGUCAGCGACUUAUAUUCUGUAGCAAGGUUAACCGAAUAGGGGAGCCGAAGGGAAACCGAGUCUUAACUGGGCGUUAAGUUGCAGGGUAUAGACCCGAAACCCGGUGAUCUAGCCAUGGGCAGGUUGAAGGUUGGGUAACACUAACUGGAGGACCGAACCGACUAAUGUUGAAAAAUUAGCGGAUGACUUGUGGCUGGGGGUGAAAGGCCAAUCAAACCGGGAGAUAGCUGGUUCUCCCCGAAAGCUAUUUAGGUAGCGCCUCGUGAAUUCAUCUCCGGGGGUAGAGCACUGUUUCGGCAAGGGGGUCAUCCCGACUUACCAACCCGAUGCAAACUGCGAAUACCGGAGAAUGUUAUCACGGGAGACACACGGCGGGUGCUAACGUCCGUCGUGAAGAGGGAAACAACCCAGACCGCCAGCUAAGGUCCCAAAGUCAUGGUUAAGUGGGAAACGAUGUGGGAAGGCCCAGACAGCCAGGAUGUUGGCUUAGAAGCAGCCAUCAUUUAAAGAAAGCGUAAUAGCUCACUGGUCGAGUCGGCCUGCGCGGAAGAUGUAACGGGGCUAAACCAUGCACCGAAGCUGCGGCAGCGACACUAUGUGUUGUUGGGUAGGGGAGCGUUCUGUAAGCCUGUGAAGGUGGCCUGUGAGGGUUGCUGGAGGUAUCAGAAGUGCGAAUGCUGACAUAAGUAACGAUAAAGCGGGUGAAAAGCCCGCUCGCCGGAAGACCAAGGGUUCCUGUCCAACGUUAAUCGGGGCAGGGUGAGUCGACCCCUAAGGCGAGGCCGAAAGGCGUAGUCGAUGGGAAACAGGUUAAUAUUCCUGUACUUGGUGUUACUGCGAAGGGGGGACGGA
RNAcentral lists this ribosomal RNA (1246 nucleotides) under Escherichia coli. RNAcentral describes it as "partial 23S ribosomal RNA". It matches the Rfam family "Bacterial large subunit ribosomal RNA", at positions 185 to 1476 of the family's 2925-position model. The record is from RNAcentral. Lineage: Bacteria; Pseudomonadati; Pseudomonadota; Gammaproteobacteria; Enterobacterales; Enterobacteriaceae.